Molecule: ribosomal RNA, 169 nt
Filed under: uncultured Peptoniphilus sp.
Lineage: Bacteria; Bacillati; Bacillota; Tissierellia; Tissierellales; Peptoniphilaceae
Description: partial 16S ribosomal RNA
Rfam family: Bacterial small subunit ribosomal RNA
Source: RNAcentral
CNUACGGGAGGCAGCAGUGGGGAAUAUUGCACAAUGGAGGGAACUCUGAUGCAGCGACGCCGCGUGAACGAAGAAGGCUUUCGAGUCGUAAAGUUCUUUUAUAUGGGAAGAUAAUGACGGUACCAUAAGAAAAAGCCCCGGCUAACUACGUGCCAGCAGCCGCGGUAAU